RNAcentral lists this ribosomal RNA (460 nucleotides) under uncultured bacterium. RNAcentral's name for it is "partial 16S ribosomal RNA". It matches the Rfam family "Bacterial small subunit ribosomal RNA", at positions 338 to 795 of the family's 1533-position model. The record is from RNAcentral.
CCUACGGUAGGCAGCAGUGAGGAAUAUUGGUCAAUGGACGAGAGUCUGAACCAGCCAAGUAGCGUGAAGGAUGACUGCCCUAUGGGUUGUAAACUUCUUUUAUAAAGGAAUAAAACGAGGCACGUGUGCCUUUUUGCAUGUACUUUAUGAAUAAGGAUCGGCUAACUCCGUGCCAGCAGCCGCGGUAAUACGGAGGAUCCGAGCGUUAUCCGGAUUUAUUGGGUUUAAAGGGAGCGUAGAUGGGUUGUUAAGUCAGUUGUGAAAGUUUGCGGCUCAACCGUAAAAUUGCAAUUGAUACUGGCAGUCUUGAGUACAGUUGAGGUAGGCGGAAUUCGUGGUGUAGCGGUGAAAUGCUUAGAUAUCACGAAGAACUCCGAUUGCGAAGGCAGCUUACUAAACUGCCACUGACAUUGAUGCUCGAAAGUGUGGGUAUCAAACAGGAUUAGAUACCCGAGUAGUC